GACGAACGCUGGCGGCGUGCUUAACACAUGCAAGUCGAACGGAAAGGCCCUGCUUUUGUGGGGUGCUCGAGUGGCGAACGGGUGAGUAACACGUGAGUAACCUGCCCUUGACUUUGGGAUAACUUCAGGAAACUGGGGCUAAUACCGGAUAGGAGCUCCUGCUGCAUGGUGGGGGUUGGAAGGUUUCGGCGGUUGGGGGUGGACUCGCGGCUUAUCAGCUUGUUGGUGGGGUAGUGGCUUACCAAGGCUUUGACGGGUAGCCGGCCUGAGAGGGUGACCGGCCACAUUGGGACUGAGAUACGGCCCAGACUCAUACGGGAGGCAGCAGUGGGGAAUAUUGCACAAGGGGCGGAAGCCUGAUGCAGCAACGCCGCGUGCGGGAUGACGGCCUUCGGGUUGUAAACCGCUUUCGCCUGUGACGAAGCGUGAGUGACGGUAAUGGGUAAAGAAGCACCGGCUAACUACGU
RNAcentral lists this ribosomal RNA (467 nucleotides) under uncultured bacterium. RNAcentral's name for it is "partial 16S ribosomal RNA". It matches the Rfam family "Bacterial small subunit ribosomal RNA", at positions 28 to 506 of the family's 1533-position model. The record is from RNAcentral.